RNAcentral lists this ribosomal RNA (642 nucleotides) under Aphelenchoides sp. Dandong. RNAcentral's name for it is "partial large subunit ribosomal RNA". It matches the Rfam family "Eukaryotic large subunit ribosomal RNA", at positions 407 to 901 of the family's 3401-position model. The record is from RNAcentral. Lineage: Eukaryota; Metazoa; Nematoda; Chromadorea; Rhabditida; Aphelenchoididae.
GAUAUAAUGGAAGCGAAUGAAGCCGACGUAUCCAGUGCGUAUUCAGCUUUCAAGAGUUCGAGUUGUUGGUGUGUAGUUCUGCAAAGUCCACACAUUGGCAUUGCUUUCGCUUUUGGUGGUGCAUUUGCGUACAGAGUGCGCCGAAUCGGUUGGUCGCGCCUCUCGAACUCGGCGAAGGGAACUAACUUGUUAGAAAUUUUCGCCGACUUAAGGAGGAUGUGGCUAGCUGUUUGAAGGGCUUCUAGCGGUGUGCGGGGUGGAUUGGAGUUGUUCGCGCUGUGUGCAUGCAUACUGCGCUUGUGAUUUCAGUCUGUCUCGUGCACUUCCCAGCUCUUAUUCGGUGUCUAGUCGGUCACCCAUUUGACCCGUCUUGAAACACGGACCAAGGAGUUUAAGGUGUACGCAAGUCAUUGAGUGUUGAAAUUCAAAGGCGUAAUGAAAGUGGGACACUUGGUGUCUGCAAUACGAUCUGUUGGUGAUUCGUUGCCGGCGGAGCAGUGUUGACCCAUGACUAGAAUUCAUUCUGUUGUGGAGUCCGAGCGUACGCUUUGAGACCCGAAAGAUGUGUGAACUAUUCCUGAACAGGACGAAGUCAGAGGAAACUCUGAUGGAAGUCCGAAGCGGUUCUGACGUGCAAAUCGA